ACGAGGGGCUAUCCUUUCUCAAAACGACUGCUACGCAUUUAGAAGCUUGUUACUAGGAAGCCUCUUUCCACGAAGUGGCUUGGUCGUGCAGACAAGCAUGACAAUAAGGCUGAUGUAAGUUGCAAGGAAAAUCUUCCUGAGUUUGAUAGAAACUGCAAGAUGUAAGAUGGUGUUGCCAUAAAUAUCUCGACAAUCAAAGAACUCGAUAUCGUUGCAGACAUGGGUCAAGUACACCAAGGCAUCAUAUCGGC
Prunus persica (peach) is the source of this 251-nucleotide long non-coding RNA. RefSeq lists it as uncharacterized. Lineage: Eukaryota; Viridiplantae; Streptophyta; Magnoliopsida; Rosales; Rosaceae. The transcript is spliced from 3 exons. The record is from RefSeq and is a predicted model, not a curated record.